Non-coding RNA from Salmo salar (Atlantic salmon), 54 nucleotides. Lineage: Eukaryota; Metazoa; Chordata; Actinopteri; Salmoniformes; Salmonidae. The record is from Rfam.
ACCAUGCUAUGUUGUAAGUCGCUCUGGAUAAGAGCGUCUGCUAAAUGACUUAAA